GACGAACGCUGGCGGCGUGCUUAACACAUGCAAGUCGAGCGGUAAGGCCCUUUCGGGGGUACACGAGCGGCGAACGGGUGAGUAACACGUGGGUGACCUGCCCUCAGCUCUGGGAUAAGCCUGGGAAACUGGGUCUAAUACUGGAUAUGACUCCACGGUGCAUGUCGUGGGGUGGAAAGCCUUGUGCGGCUGAGGAUGGGCCCGCGGCCUAUCAGCUUGUUGGUGGGGUGAUGGCCUACCAAGGCGACGACGGGUAGCCGGCCUGAGAGGGCGACCGGCCACACUGGGACUGAGACACGGCCCAGACUCCUACGGGAGGCAGCAGUGGGGAAUCUUGCGCAAUGGGCGAAAGCCUGACGCAGCGACGCCGCGUGCGGGAAGACGGCCUCGGUGUAACG
Molecule: ribosomal RNA, 398 nt
Filed under: uncultured bacterium
Lineage: Bacteria
Description: bacterial SSU rRNA
Rfam family: Bacterial small subunit ribosomal RNA
Source: RNAcentral